This 468-nucleotide ribosomal RNA is filed under the name uncultured bacterium. Its description in RNAcentral is "partial 16S ribosomal RNA". It matches the Rfam family "Bacterial small subunit ribosomal RNA", at positions 28 to 507 of the family's 1533-position model. The record is from RNAcentral.
GACGAACGCUGGCGGCGUGCUUAACACAUGCAAGUCGAACGGAAAGGCCCUGCUUUUGUGGGGUGCUCGAGUGGCGAACGGGUGAGUAACACGUGUGUAACCUGCCCUUGACUUUGGGAUAACUUCAGGAAACUGGGGAUAAUAUCGGAUAGGAGCUCCUGCUGCAUGGUGGGGGUUGGAAAGUUUCGGCGGUUGGGGAUGGUCUCGCGGCUUAUCAGCUUGUUGGUGGGGUAGUGGCUUACCAAGGCUUUGACGGGUAGCCGGCCUGAGAGGGUGACCGGCCACAUUGGGACUGAGAUACGGCCCAGACGCCUACGGGAGGCAGCGGUGGGGAAUAUUGCACAAUGGGCGGAAGCCUGAUGCAGCAACGCCGCGUGCGGGAUGACGGCCUUCGGGUUGUAAACCGCUUUCGCCUGUGACGAAGCGUGAGUGACGGUAAUGAGUAAAAAAGCACCGGCUAACUACGUG